Molecule: ribosomal RNA, 560 nt
Filed under: Petalura gigantea
Lineage: Eukaryota; Metazoa; Arthropoda; Insecta; Odonata; Petaluridae
Description: partial 28S ribosomal RNA
Source: RNAcentral
CUUGACUCUAGUCUGGCACUGUAAGGAGACAUGAGAGGUGUAGCAUAAGUGGGAGCUACGCCGGCCCUCGGGCUGGCGCCGUCGACGGUGAAAUACCACUACUUUGAUAGUUUCUUUACUUACUCGGUGAGGCGGAGGGCGUGCGCAGUCGUCGAUUCGUCGCGGCUGCGUCACGGUAUUCUGGAUCCAAGGGAGUUGCGGUCGCGGGCGCCACUGGGACGCGGGCGCACGGGGAUCGGCCGUCCGGGCCGGGGGGAAACCUUCGGCCCGCGGCUCGCCGCCCCCCGUGCGCUCCGUCCCUAGCUCGUGUUUAUCCCUCCCGAUCCGAUUCGAGGACACCGCCMGGCGGGGAGUUUGACUGGGGCGGUACAUCUGUCARAGAAUAACGCAGGUGUCCUAAGGCUAGCUCAGCGAGGACAGAAACCUCGCGUGGAGCAAAAGGGCAAAUGCUGGCUUGAUCCCGAUGCUCAGUACGCAUAGAGACUGCGAAAGCACGGCCUAUCGAUCCUUUUGGCUUGGGGAGUUUCCAGCAAGAGGUGUCAGAAAAGUUACCACAGGGA